AAUCCAGCUGCUGCUUCCGCUUGGUUUUGUAGCGCCGGUUCUGGAACCAGAUCUUCACCUGGGUCUCGGUGAGGCGCAGUGCGGCGGCCAGGUGCGCGCGCUCCAGUGCGGACAGGUAGCGCUGGCGGCUGAACUUCUUCUCCAGCUCGAGCACCUGCAGGUGCGUGAAGGCGGCGCGCGAGCGCUUCUGCUUCUGAGUCAGAGCGCGCGCGUGGCUCGGCGGCUCGUCGGCGUCGGUCGUCGCUUCUGUCGGAGAGUUUGUCCUUUCCGCCAGACACGACUCGUCAGGUGAAGCUGGGAAAAGACAGAAUGUCUUCAAUGAAGAAGGACGUCAGCUGCCUGUUUGAGGACGCCAUGUCGACUGGCAGGAACCAGACAGCAGGAGCAAUGUGAUGAGACUCCAACAGACGUACGGCAUCAGGAUGGAUCAGGCAGGUCCGAGGAGCAGAAGAGUCUCGCCCACAGUGAGGAGCUGAGGAGAUUUAUUAUGAAACUGGAGAUGAGGACUUUCCUGCCGUCUCUGGGCAUCAGGCUUCGGGUGAACACCAGGGGAAAUGUGCAGAGCGGCUCCGUGGUCAGGCAGGGUGAAGGAUCACGGAGGAAGCUGGAGCCAAUCUCAGCUGACUUCGGAUGAGAGAUGGGGUACACCCUGGGUGGGUCACCAAUUAGAGUCGCCAGUUGACCACAUGCACAUGUAUUUGGAUUAUGGGAGGAAACCAGAGCACCCAGAGGAAACCCAUGAAGGCACAGGGAGAACAUGCAAACUCCACACAGAAAGGCCCCAAUCAUCUGGCAGGUUUGAACCCGGAACCUUCUUGCUGUGAGGCGACAAUGUUAACCACUGCACCACUGUGACAUCGUCAUCAUCAUCUCAUCUCAUCUCAUUAUCUGUAGCCGCUUUAUCCUGUUCUACAGGGUCGCAGGCAAGCU
Long non-coding RNA from Neoarius graeffei (lesser salmon catfish), 930 nucleotides. RefSeq lists it as uncharacterized. Lineage: Eukaryota; Metazoa; Chordata; Actinopteri; Siluriformes; Ariidae. The transcript is spliced from 5 exons. The record is from RefSeq and is a predicted model, not a curated record.